Daphnia pulicaria is the source of this 367-nucleotide long non-coding RNA. RefSeq lists it as uncharacterized. The transcript is spliced from 3 exons. The record is from RefSeq and is a predicted model, not a curated record. Lineage: Eukaryota; Metazoa; Arthropoda; Branchiopoda; Diplostraca; Daphniidae.
UGGCGGAAGAGAUUUGCGAUUGUUAACCGUCGUCUGCUCGUUCAUAAUAUUCAAAGAUACUUUCGAAGGAUAAUUAGCGAAUUAAUCGAGCAGGUACAAAGAUUCAUUUUCGAGUGGAGACAUUUCAAGUACGAGUGAAGAAAUAGUGGUAAAGUGCUUCCAAGACUUGAAGUAGAUCAACAUGAGUACCACUAGCUGGAAUGGCAGAUGGUUCCACUUGAGAAAAGUCUUGGAGCGAGGUGGACCAUUGGCUCAUCCAGACUUUCAGGCCUCAAAUGAAACACUUGAUUUUCUGUUGGAAACUUGCAAGAUUCUCGUUGUAGGGGCUGGUGGCUUGGGCUGUGAAUUGCUCAAGAAUUUAGCUUUA